RNAcentral lists this ribosomal RNA (322 nucleotides) under uncultured eukaryote. RNAcentral's name for it is "partial 18S ribosomal RNA". It matches the Rfam family "Eukaryotic small subunit ribosomal RNA", at positions 1469 to 1796 of the family's 1831-position model. The record is from RNAcentral.
ACCCUUAGAUGUUCUGGGCUGCACGCGUGCUACAAUGGCGUUUCCAGCAAGUCUGCGAACCCGAGAGGGCCAGCGGAUCUUCGAAUUGGCGUCGUGAUCGGGACAGUCGAUUGCAAUUAUUUGACUCAAACGAGGAAUUCCUUGUAAUCGCGAUUCAUCAUAUCGCGCUGAAUACGUCCCUGCCCUUUGUACACACCGCCCGUCGCUCCUACCGAUUGAGCGAUCCGGUGAAUAAUUCGGACUGCAGCAGUGUUCAGUUCCUGAACGUUGCAGCGGAAAGUUUAGUGAACCUUAUCACUUAGAGGAAGGAGAAGUCGUAACA